RNAcentral lists this unclassified non-coding RNA (271 nucleotides) under air metagenome. Its description in RNAcentral is "partial contains small subunit ribosomal RNA, internal transcribed spacer 1, and 5.8S ribosomal RNA". The stretch from base 1 to 46 matches the Rfam family "Eukaryotic small subunit ribosomal RNA", at positions 1786 to 1831 of the family's 1831-position model. The record is from RNAcentral.
AAGUCGUAACAAGGUUUCCGUAGGUGAACCUGCGGAAGGAUCAUUAGCGAAGCUCGGAAUGCGCGUUCGGUCUGAUGCUGCCCGGCAACGGGAUGUGCUCGUCUGGAUGCGUGUCCCUUCUCUAUUCCACCCCUUUGUGAACCAAGUGUGCGAGCCGAAGAGAGAUCGGAGGCUCGCAUGCAAACCCUUAACAUACCCCAAUGAAGUAUCAGAAUGUACCUUGCGUUAACUCGCACAAAUACAACUUUCAACAACGGAUCUCUUGGCUCUC